This 499-nucleotide ribosomal RNA is filed under the name Saccharomyces cerevisiae (brewer's yeast). RNAcentral describes it as "eukaryotic LSU rRNA". It matches the Rfam family "Eukaryotic large subunit ribosomal RNA", at positions 64 to 567 of the family's 3401-position model. Lineage: Eukaryota; Fungi; Ascomycota; Saccharomycetes; Saccharomycetales; Saccharomycetaceae. The record is from RNAcentral.
ACAGGGGGGGGAUGCUUAGUACGGCGAGUGAAGCGGCAAAAGCUCAAAUUUGAAAUCUGGUACCUUCGGUGCCCGAGUUGUAAUUUGGAGAGGGCAACUUUGGGGCCGUUCCUUGUCUAUGUUCCUUGGAACAGGACGUCAUAGAGGGUGAGAAUCCCGUGUGGCGAGGAGUGCGGUUCUUUGUAAAGUGCCUUCGAAGAGUCGAGUUGUUUGGGAAUGCAGCUCUAAGUGGGUGGUAAAUUCCAUCUAAAGCUAAAUAUUGGCGAGAGACCGAUAGCGAACAAGUACAGUGAUGGAAAGAUGAAAAGAACUUUGAAAAGAGAGUGAAAAAGUACGUGAAAUUGUUGAAAGGGAAGGGCAUUUGAUCAGACAUGGUGUUUUGUGCCCUCUGCUCCUUGUGGGUAGGGGAAUCUCGCAUUUCACUGGGCCAGCAUCAGUUUUGGUGGCAGGAUAAAUCCAUAGGAAUGUAGCUUGCCUCGGUAAGUAUUAUAGCCUGUGG